AUACGGAGGGUGCAAGCGUUACUCGGAAUCACUGGGCGUAGAGCGCGCGCAGGCGGUCUUUUAAGUUGGAUGUGAAAGCCUACGGCUCAACCGUAGAACUGCAUCCAAAACUAUUAGACUAGAGUGUGGGAGAGGAAGAUGGAAUUAGUUGUGUAGGGGUAAAAUCCGUAGAGAUAACUAGGAAUACCAAAAGCGAAGGCAAUCUUCUGGAACACUACUGACGCUGAGGCGCGAAAGCGUGGGGAGCAAACAGGAUUAGAAACCCCAGUAGUCC
Molecule: ribosomal RNA, 274 nt
Filed under: uncultured bacterium
Lineage: Bacteria
Description: partial 16S ribosomal RNA
Rfam family: Bacterial small subunit ribosomal RNA
Source: RNAcentral